This 1681-nucleotide long non-coding RNA is filed under the name Equus asinus (donkey). Its description in RNAcentral is "lncRNA (ENSEASG00005025194.1)". The record is from RNAcentral. Lineage: Eukaryota; Metazoa; Chordata; Mammalia; Perissodactyla; Equidae.
GGGGGGAGCUCCCGCGCCGGGCGGCCCGCAACCCCCGCGCCCCACGCAGCUGUGGGUGAGAUUGACAGCGACCUGAUAGGAUUUAUUCUGCUGUUUUUAAUGCUCAAGAAGUGUUUCGUGUGAAGUAUUGGGAUGCUAUUAGAGAAAAUUUAAGUGUGUAUAUUGUGUAAAUUACCUAUACAACAUCUGUUAUCAUGCACUUUUUCUUUUUAACACCGAGAAGCGGCGUCAGAUGUCUGCAGUGCUUGGAGCUGCUCUGUCGUCAGCGGCAGGAAGUUUAGACCGGGGCAUCCACAGGAUGUUCUUUUUCAUCACCACCAGCUACAGAGAACAAGUGAUAAAUAACAGCGCCUGCAUGCACGGUCACAUACAUUUCCUCACGUAACAAUAGCCCUGAAUAUGCAGGAAGCAAGACCCAUUUGAAGCUGGGAUCAGAGAGACGUUCUCUGGCUUUUGAUGGAGAGGUCGUUGCCUUACAGAGACCCAGCCAGUGACCUUGGCUCCCAGCGCCAGCUUCUGCCAAAGAAGCCCCUGGCUCAGACCACUACGUUAGGCCAAGGAAAUCCCUUGACGACAUCUGUCCCCAGCACGGAAUCAAACUAUUAUUCAAAGGACAAACCGUCUCUUAUUAAUUAGAAGAAAUCCUAGAAGCAGCCUUGUGCACAAGGGCACGCAAGGCUUUUACUUCUCCCUUGGUGAGUAUUAGCCCUGGGCCUCAGAGCAACGCCGGCGGGGACUGUUGUAUCACCGCCUUAGCUCGAUGGGGGACAUUCAGGGUAUUUAAUUAUUCCAUGUUUAUUCUAGAGGACAAUAAAUUUUGUCGUUUCUAUAAACCUAAGCAUGCCAGUACACAAUUCAGUUGCUUCCAUGAAAAAAUUUAACUCAUUAUUUCUACUAACGGACCAGUUUGAAAUUUUCAACAGUUGGGACACUUUGGUGAAGUACAAAAGACCGGCCCUCCCACUCGGCGCUGUUACUGAAAUGAGCUCCUUCGGAGGAGCUGUCCCAUCCCAUCCUUGGCUCCACGGACCUUGUUAUUUCAGUUCGUGGGAUGGGAAGCAAGGAUUGGGGAGAGGACCUUUAGUUCCCAGUGGGAAUUGAAUGUUCAGAAGGCAGGAGAAAAGUAAGUCGAGAAACCUCACUGUGUUUUCUACACCUCCCCUCCCACCAUCCUUCUGGUUUCCUUGCUCUGGCGGCCGCGGGCCUCUCUCCCAUCACCCCUCUUCAGUCUUUGCUGAUAGCAGGAAUGGUAGCUGCAGAGUCGCUGCCGGAGCCCCUGGCCUCUCUGUUCUUCCUGGAAGCCUUCCUCAGGCACCAGUCCUUCUUUCCGCCUUGCCUUUUGACCCGCACAGUAAAACAGACCUGACGAGGUUGACGAGGGACAACGGUGAGUUUCCCUUACCAGCUUUCGACUGGCCAGAGAUGCAAGCAGAUGUGGGGUGCACAUUACUAAAUCUUUGGAGUCCUCAUUCUUCCGCGCCCCAUCAUGGAGCUAUCAGCACCACCAUUUUACAGAUGAGGAAACUGAGAAAAUCAUACAGCUAAGUGACAGACACAAGAUUCAAACCAGGUGUCUCUGACAUUAGAGCAGAAUCUCUUUAGUCCUGUGCUAUACUGCCUCCAUUAAAAAUCAUGUUUGAGGGGCUGGCCCCGUGGCCGAGUGGUUGGGUUCGCGCGCUCC